RNAcentral lists this ribosomal RNA (494 nucleotides) under Babesia canis canis. RNAcentral describes it as "SSU rRNA". It matches the Rfam family "Eukaryotic small subunit ribosomal RNA", at positions 498 to 1041 of the family's 1831-position model. The record is from RNAcentral. Lineage: Eukaryota; Apicomplexa; Aconoidasida; Piroplasmida; Babesiidae.
CUGUCUUGUAAUUGGAAUGAUGGUGACCCAAACCCUCACCAGAGUAGCAAUUGGAGGGCAAGUCUGGUGCCAGCAGCCGCGGUAAUUCCAGCUCCAAUAGCGUAUAUUAAACUUGUUGCAGUUAAAAAGCUCGUAGUUGUAUUUUUGCGUUGACGGUUUGACCAUUUGGUUGGUUAUUUCGUUUUCGCUUUUGGGAAUUUCCCUUUUUACUUUGAGAAAAUUAGAGUGUUUCAAGCAGACUUUUGUCUUGAAUACUUCAGCAUGGAAUAAUAGAGUAGGACUUUGGUUCUAUUUUGUUGGUUAUUGAACCUUAGUAAUGGUUAAUAGGAACGGUUGGGGGCAUUCGUAUUUAACUGUCAGAGGUGAAAUUCUUAGAUUUGUUAAAGACGAACUACUGCGAAAGCAUUUGCCAAGGACGUUUCCAUUAAUCAAGAACGAAAGUUAGGGGAUCGAAGACGAUCAGAUACCGUCGUAGUCCUAACCCAUAAACUAAC